Molecule: signal recognition particle RNA, 288 nt
Filed under: Aotus nancymaae (Ma's night monkey)
Lineage: Eukaryota; Metazoa; Chordata; Mammalia; Primates; Aotidae
Description: Metazoan signal recognition particle RNA (ENSANAG00000012221.1)
Rfam family: Metazoan signal recognition particle RNA
About the family: The signal recognition particle (SRP) is a universally conserved ribonucleoprotein. It is involved in the co-translational targeting of proteins to membranes.
Source: RNAcentral
GCCAGGUGCAGUGACGCAUGCCUGUAAUCCCAGCUACUCGGGAGGCCAAGGUUGGAGGAUCAUUUGAGUCCAAGAGUUCUGGGCUGCAGUGUGCUACACCGAUCGGGUGUCCGCACUAAGUUCGGCAUCAAUAUGGUGACCUCCCGGGAGCGGGGAACCACCAGGUUGCCUAUGGAGAGGUGAACCAGCCCAGGUCAGAAAUGGAGUAGGUCAAAACUCCCAUGCUGAUCAGUAGUGGGAUCAAGCCUGUGAAUAGCCACUGUACUCCUGCACUCUAAAAAACAAACA